CUCAUUGUCCUUUUUUUCUCAAUUUUUGAAUUUUUAAUGUCAAAUAUUUUGAUUAAUUCUUUAUUCUUUAUCUCUAAUUAGUGAAUUAAUUUGUAUUAAGCCACGACUUUUAAUUGCCCUCCGUCUCUUCCUAUUCUUUUUCACAUCUAAGAUGUUGACUUUUGUUCUUCCUUCUUUCACUAUCCAUAUCCAUGGCUAUUAUUAACUAACUGAUUUUGUCAUCCUGAAGGGGAAAUGAUCAAUGUGAAACACUAGGGCAAGAAAAUUACUGAACAAUUGUUCUGCAACGGUGGUGAAUCGAUGAUCAAGAAAGUUGUGGAAAACAAUUCUGAUGAAAGGAAAAUCAACUGGGGUGUUGGUGUCAGCAAUCAGGAAUCCUUUCGCCUUGAAAAGUCGUCACAAAAACGUGAAGUGCCAAAAAAUAGAGUUUUCAAAAUCAAUCAGAAGGGCAGUGCUAAUUCUGCAUUUGAGAGACAAUUGCCCAUUAUCAGAAAAAGAUCACGAGAAUUAGCCAAUGAAGAUCAACAACGCUUCAAGAAGGCGGCAAAAGGGAACACUAUCGUUAGGGUUUAAGUCCCUCCUGUUGCAAUAAUCAACAGAGAAUUGGAUAUUGAUUUCAAGAAUAAGAUUGGUGAAAUAAGGGGUUCACUUGAAUCAGUUAAAUUGGUGAUCGAAAAAAGACUAUUCAUGAGUGAUGUUCACUUGAAUUGGUUAAAUUUGCUAUUGUUGUGCUUUGGGUAAUUUAGUGCUUUGAAUAAUUUAGCUUCUGGUUUCACCCUCUUCGAUUUGAACAAAUUAGUUUUCUUAUUCGCAGUUUGUUCAAUUUUAUGCUAAUGGGUUGAGCAUUUGUGUUAUUUUUGAUUUAGGUAUAUUGAAGAAAGAUGUUGGAAGAACUCAUCACCGGUAGUUAGUGUAUGUAAUUAAUUUUUAUCUUCUUCUUUCUACUACUGCUUUGAAGAUUCCUUAUAUUUCUACCUUUUGAAUUUGGGAAAAAAUUUCCUGCUGCCUCUAGGAGGGAAAAAGUCGAGUUGGAUAACCCAAAUUGAAAGAUUUUAGACUUGGAAAGAAUUAGAACUGCCUUAAAGUUAUUCUUGUAUUACUUUGUUCCUCACAUGUCAUUUGGGGCUCCAAUCUAACCCAAGGUUCAAUCAUUAUACAAUGGAUUAAUAAUAUAAAAUUUUUUUUUGUAGUAGAAGGUAAUUGCAAAGUCUUGAUCCAGUCAUUAUACAAUGGAUUAAUAAUAUAAAAUUUUUAUUUGUAGUAGAAGGUAAUUGCGAAGUCUUGAUAGCUUCUCUAGCAUUCGAAUAUUUCCUUGAAGCAAGCUAAAUAGGCAAUGAUAUGCAAUGCAAGGAUAUUUAAAUUUUUUUAGAAAAAACCCCAAUCCAGAUGUUUAAAAUCAAACAAGUAUCAACAGUCUGUCUUCUCUGCUUCUGCUGGGGAAUCGUUCGGCGGGUUUUAUCAACAGAAGAAAAGAAGAGAUUUCUAGUUUUCUAUUGUGAUUGAUUUUCUUCACUUGACAUUUUUUAAGAUAAGAAACCACAUAGGAGAGCUAUUGAGCCAUCCAUGAGAAAACUCUAGCGUAAAGUAAGCCAGAAAACGGUAUGAUACUUCACGUUUGGAGUUUAUUUUGUUAGAUUCUGGCUUAUCAUAAUAAAUUUCAUUUUUCGUAUAUUUCAGCAGUUUGACCUUGCCUACGAUGAAUAACAGCUGAUAGAUAUAGUAGUUUGUAAAUCUCCAUUCCAGAUAGCUUCAGGCAGCGGUUAAAAACAUGUGAUAGUCUCAGUUAAACAGAAAUCUCUAAGCCCAUCCAACUGUGAUUUGGGCUCAAUAAUAUGGUAUAAGGUUUUUCUGACAUCAUUGUUAUUGUAUGACACUUUGAAAUUGCUGCUACUAGAGAUUAGUAACCACUGCAAGUGUAUAUCAGGUAUAAUGCUUUGAGAUAGUUUUGGACACCUUUAAAUAAUUUUAUAUCUUAGUACUAGCCUUUAUUUUAUUUGGAGUAGUAAGACAUUUCACCUCAUGCGAGAAUAGUUUGGAGAUGAUGGGGGGUUUGUCGUUGAACCCUACCUUGUAUAUUGAAUAUUAAAAGUUACAUAAAUAGAGGGGGGUGAAAGUCAUAAACCUGUGUAACAUAGAAGGUGAACAAGCUCACCUAUAACAAACCAAUAGGAUUCUGGAGUGCCCCUAUUUUUCACUAAGAAGGAGGAUAAAACAAAGGUACUUAAGCUUAACACUAGCUAUAUAUAGUAUAUACAUUGGUGAUAUACAAAAUAUGGGAGAUUUAAAGGGCAAAGUACCUUUCUACUAACACUGGUCCUAUAUAGCAUUUGCAAUGGUGCUAUACAAAUGAGAGAUUUAAAGAGCAAAGUGUCUUUCUACUAUGUGCACAACAAAUAAUAUUUUCUAUGUAUAGUGAUGAGAGAACUGAAUUUAGCCAUUAAAAAAGUUGGAUUUGUGUCACGAUCCAAAAAUGAGGGUUAUGAUAGCACUUGUCGUGGUGUAUCUUGACAAGUAAGCCUAUCACCCAAACUAAUACGAAAAGAGGAAAAGAUAGAAAUAUCCCAAAAUAAGGCUUUUAGAACGAAGUCGAACCAUAUAAGUAAUCAUAACAAUGCAAAAAGAAUUUAUCCAAAAUAUCAAUCAUGCCCAAAAUUAGGUGUCAAUAGUGUAAGAAUUACUAAUACAAUCCAAGAGUUAAAUACAUCUGAAAAUAACCACAAAGGAAUAAUAAUAUUCUCCGAAUACUAAUAAAAACAUAACUACUAUAGAAAAUAGAGGUGAACUUUGGAUGCAUGAAUGUCCAAUCGCUACCUUGGAAACUCCAACAAUCGCCCGAGCCAAGCAAGCUGAGGCGCACUCGAGUUAGGACCUGCACCAAAAGCGCGCAGUAGGCAUAAGUACGGUCCACUUGUACUCAGGAGGUAUCAUAGGUCGACCAAGCAAAUUAGUAAAUAAAGUAUACAAAAUAAAAUAUACACUAUGGGCACAUCACCCGUAGUAAAAAAAAUAUCCCACAGUGAUAGCCUACACCACCUGCACUAAUAAUUUUAAUAUAUCACAUAUAUUGCAACAUCACACCAAGAUAGAACACAAAUAUGCAUUAUAUCACAUAUAAGUAGAACAUGGGAAAAUAUGCAUAUACAAGAUCAUCAAAUACAAGUAAAAGAAGAUAAGACAAUUACAUAGAUGGAAAUUCAAUAUGACAAUACAACACAUUAUAAACAUAAUAACCUAAGUGCAAUAUAGAUGAUGAUGAUGAUGCAGGAGAUAGUCGCACAACCUCCGGGAUCGUCUAACAAUUCCUGUAUACACAUACGGAGGCAAGCCUCUCAACGCAGGACCAUGGGGGUUCGUCAACCCGUAUACAAUCCACAUAUCUCAUAUCUCUUUCCUGGCACAUUCCUUGGGGAGGAUUUUAUAAGGUGUUACAAUAUCUCCUCCUUAGCACUUUCCUCGGGGAGGGUUUUAUAAAAGGUGUUGUCAGUGUUUCUCAGAUGUUGCCAUGUUGCUAUCAAUGUUUCAUGAAUGAGUAUGAUAUGAGGAUGUAAUGCUCACAACCAAUCACAAUGAGUAUUUUCACAACCAACCACAAUGAUACAUUUUCACUACCAUGUAAGCCAAUAUCCACUCAUAAUUUUUGUUUCAUCCAUGAAUUUCCACAUGUCUCAUAUAACAACAAGUAUGAAUAUAUCACAAUACACCAAUGGUACCACAUUAGGCAUUUCAACAACACUAUAAAAUUAUUCACAUAUAUUCAGGGCCAUCAACAUCACAUAGGACUCCACACAGUCAUAUGCAUUACAUAAUAUCUCAAUUUCGAUAAUUACAUCACAUAUAGGCCCCCUCACAGGUACAACACAUAGAUAGUCAUUUUUUAUGAUUAUUUCUUAUCCUUAAAAUGCAUUUAGUACCAUCUGAUCUGAGGUUAUUUUAUACACUUUGGUAUCAUUAUUCUAGCUUAUUUUGUCUUGUUUUUAGAGCAAUUUGUACGCUUUAUGUGCUCAUAUUGAUAUAAAUAAGAAUUUAAGUGUCCAAGUAUGUAUUUACGAUGUCCAAAGUAUUUUUCAAAUAAGUUUGUACUUAAUUGAGUAAUUUAGUGUUCAACCCGUAAAAUUAGUUUUACUAGCUUGAGUUAGGUGUGUGUCUAGUUGGUCUUGGUGGAUUCUAAUGUGUUUAAUUUGUUUCAAAUAUUUUAAUAAUGUAAUUAUGAGUGGAAUAACUUAUUUUUAAUGUGCAAAACUCAAUUUGAUUUAGUCAAGAGUCGAAAAAAUAAGUGGAAGAUCAUUGCGAAUUUGUCUUAUCUUAGCUCUUGUUUUGAUUUGUUAUUGAGAAUGAUGUGUUGUUUUGAUCUUUAAUAUAUGUUGUGUUGUUUUGAUAUUUAAUAUGUGGUGUAUGUUAUUGUAGAAGGCUUGGUGAGAUGAAUAUGGUGAUAUGUUGAUGACUUAAAGGCCGAAAAUUCGUUGAAAAUAUACUACAAAAGGCAUGGAUAAAGGAUAGAACGUUCUACACAACUAGAUUUUUGGAUGCAAAUUUCAGUGAGACUAUGCGAAGUCAACGCAUCACAUUGAUGUGCCCAACACGUUGACCAACGCGUCGCGUCGAUAGCACAAAGCACGGUCAGAACUAAAUGCUGCUGCCACGGGUAGACUUUGUCCAAUUUAAACCAAAUUGGGGCACAUCCUUAAGUUUGGUGGGAAUCAUAUCUUGAUAUACGUGCCACCUUUUUCAUAAUUCCAUAGUAAUUGGGAAAAAUAUAUAUAUAUUUGGAUUGGGACACAGCUGGUUCCCACUUAUAUGUAAAGUGGACACAUAAUUAAUAUUGGGGGAACACGUACAGUACCUGGAUACGGUCGGAUACUGUUUGGAGAAAAUAUACGGAGGCGGCUACACGGUUUAUUAGGUUUUAAUUUUUAUUUUUAGUCUUUAAUUUUUCAUAUCAUGUAUUCAAUUAUUUGGAUCAUGAUUAUGAAUAUUAAUAGCUAAAAACCCUUCUUCCGGGAUUAAAGCCAAGAACAUGAUCACUAUUAUUUUGGAUUAAUUUUGAUUAAUUUUUACUUAUCAUAUUUGGUUGUUUGUUUAUUCUUGUUUUAAUUAUUUUAAGGAUUCGCAACCCUUAGAAUACAUAUAUUAUCAACCUUUUGAUCUCGGGAGAGGGAAUAGGGAGAUUGAACACUGGA
Molecule: long non-coding RNA, 5177 nt
Filed under: Capsicum annuum
Lineage: Eukaryota; Viridiplantae; Streptophyta; Magnoliopsida; Solanales; Solanaceae
Description: long non-coding RNA (CANN_LNC019079)
Source: RNAcentral